GCCGGUGGUAGAAUGGGUAGAGUACGCGCUCUUGGACAGAGUGAGAUGCAGGUUCGACUCCCGCCUGAGGCG
Molecule: non-coding RNA, 72 nt
Organism: Parelaphostrongylus tenuis
Lineage: Eukaryota; Metazoa; Nematoda; Chromadorea; Rhabditida; Metastrongylidae
Source: the annotation of a GenBank genome assembly